GAUGAAGAACGUAGCGAAAUGCGAUAAGUAAUGUGAAUUGCAGAAUUCAGUGAAUCAUCGAAUCUUUGAACGCACCUUGCGCUCUUUGGUAUUCCGAAGAGCAUGCCUGUUUGAGUGUCAUGAAAAUAUCAACCUUGACUUGGGUUUUGUGCUCUAGUCUCGGCUUGGAAUUGGGUGCUUGCCGCUUUUACGAGCGGCUCACCUUAAAUGUAUUAGCUGGAUCUGUCUUUGAGACUUGGUUUGACUUGGCGUAAUAAGUAUUUCGCUAUGGACAUUCUUCGGAGUGGCCUCGUUUCUAGGACGCUUGUCCGCUUUCCAAUACAAGUUCCACCUCGUGGACAUGACUUUUUAUUAUCUGGCCUCAAAUCAGGUAGGACUACCCGCUGAACUUAAGCAUAUCAAUAAGCGGAGGA
RNAcentral lists this unclassified non-coding RNA (413 nucleotides) under soil metagenome. RNAcentral's name for it is "partial contains 5.8S ribosomal RNA, internal transcribed spacer 2, and large subunit ribosomal RNA". The stretch from base 1 to 120 matches the Rfam family "5.8S ribosomal RNA", at positions 35 to 154 of the family's 154-position model. The record is from RNAcentral.